GAGUAAGAAAGUGAGUAGGAAACAUCAACAACACUUGACUCCCCUCUUUGUAAGUUAUUCAUGUAUUACUUUCACACCCCUCCUGCUUUUGUUGAUUUACGGCUUUGAAUAUGUAAUGGGGAAAAUGUUCUCUUAUUACUGAAUCAUGGAAACCUGGGCAGCAAGGCGACGAUUUUGCGCCCUGCUGCCUGUCCAGCUGGACCACAGGGAAGCUCGGGGCUACCAGGGAUAAAGAGCGACCAGUCCCAUUACCGCAGAUGAAAAUACAACAUGACAAAUGGCAGCAUGCUGGCUGCAAUCGAGAUUAAGAGUGCAAACAUGGCUGGCCAAUGGGGACAUUAGAAGAUGGAUCGGGUUACAGGUUUGACAGUGCUGUGGAAGGCUGACAAACACCAGGGACGAAGAAUAGCAGGCUACGUAGACACUCGCACAGAAGAAACGCAUUGUAUUGAUGAAGUGGAUGAGGUAUUUAUUCAAAGGAAAAUAAUUGAUGUUGAAGGGGCACUGAAUGAAAUCCUACAAUUAGGCGGCUACGAUUAGGAUUUCUUUGUUAGAUCAACAACAAAAAAUGUACAGGCAAAGUAAGUCUGUUGACAUCAACUGGUUUCAGCUUUCAGCAGAUGGCAGAUGGCAGUUGCACUUUGUGCAUGCAGUCCACUACUACAGUAGAAUCUUAGCCAAAAUGUCACCCCCAUUUAAUGACAGAGAGCAAUGGAUCUUAAAUGGGACGUUAACUCAAUGCAGAGGUAUGGGGUUGGGGUCCUCUUUAUGCAGACCUAGACUAUUAGAGUGUAAUUUUUAGAGAUCUUCUAAUCCAUCUUUAUGGCCAGUGUAUUUGAUAGGUCUGCGUUAGUUUAGGCCACUGAGCACAGACGUCAGUUCAACGUUUAGUUUUGAUUUACAUUUGGAUAAGUUGUCAAUGUGAAAUCAACCAAAAAUGUCUUCCUGUCAUUGGAUUUAGGUUCAAAGUUGGGUCAUAAAAACCAUGACAUUCCCUUACGUUGGUGACUUUUUGCAAAUCCAAUCAGUUUUCCACUUUGCUUCAAUGUCAUCACAUUGAAUUUUUUGGGUUAAAUGACACGGAAACCAUGAUGAUUCAACUGUUUUUUGCCCAGUGUGUGAAAAUGGAAGUAAACUUUAGGGGGAUAUUAUUUGCCUUGUUAGGGAGAAUGGAGGAGUGUGAUUCUAAUCUUCCAUAAACACUUCUGAAGGGUCUCCCUUCCUUCUGCUUGCCGAGAUAACAGCAUAGCAGCAUUGACCACUUGUUUAAGUACACGCCAGAUUCAUUCGAUUACAGAAGCUAAUGGCCCAUAGGGGAUCUAAACAAGUUUGCUCUGGAAAGCCAAUCACCCUGGAAAUGCAGUGAUUGUCCGCACUUCAGUGAAGCACCUUGAACCUUCUCCGACCAAAGCAGACCUGCAGGCGCACGUUGUUUCGUGUUAACUCUGUUUUUCAGAUUAUGGAGCAAAGGAAAUGGUAGCUAUCUGUAUGACGUGACAGAUAUCUCUAAGUAGCGCCAAAUUCCGCUUGCCUCGCAGACGAGCAGCGAAGAUCACGUUCUUUGUUCACGCGUUCGUUGGUGCGCAGGGUCAGGCAACCUGUUGAUUGCAAAUGAAAAGCCAGGCUCAUGUUGCAUAAGGUCAUUCUAUGUGACAGACCUGAUCAAAUUGAUUUGUAAAGAGUGCUAUGAAUGCUGAAAAAGUUGAAGUAUUCAGAGAUGUGCUUUAGUGUGCUACAGUACUUGGUCUGUAUUGUGAGUGUACAGAGCACAUUGCAGAUUGUUGAAGAUGUUGUGUGUUCAGGUGCUGCAACAAGCAAGAAGUAUAGUUCAAUUGGCAUGUUAGCAUUAGCAUGCAAAAUGCUGUAGGCUUUCGUAACUUGUUGGCCCUGAAGAUGAAUGACUACUCAAAUGUUUUGCUUGCUUUAGCAACAAUGCUAAACUGAUUAGCUGUAGGGGCAAGUACCCAUGAGGUGAGAACUUUCAUUUUUGCUUCACUACAUUUCUAAAGAAAAUUAUGUACUUUUUACUCCAUACAUUUUCCCUGACACCCAAAAGUACACGUUACACAUUUUGAAUGCAUAGAACAACAGGUAAAUGGUCUAAUUUACAUACUUAUCAAGAGAACAUCUCUGGUCAUCACUACUGCCUCUGAUCUGUCAGACUCACUAAACUCAUGAUUAAUUUGUAAAUUAUGUUUGAGUGUUGGAGAAUGGCCCUUGCAAUCUGUAAUUGCUUUAUAUAAGGAAUUUGAAAUUAUUUAUACUUUUACUUUUAAUUUUAGGAAUUAUAUUUUCUUUUGAUACUGGAGUAUAUUUAAAACCAAAUACUUUUAGACUUUUACUCCAUUCUAUUGUCACUUCUAGAUUAGACUACUGCAAAAUGCUCUACUUUCCGGCUACCCGGAUAAAGCACUAAAUAGAAGUCAGUUAGUGCAAAACACUGCUGCUAGAAUCUUGACUACAACCAAAACAUUUGAUCAUAUUACUCCAGUGCUAGCCUCCCUACACUGGCUUCCUGUUAAGGCUAGGACUCGUUUCAAGAUUUUACUGUUAACCUACAAAACCUACCUAUCUUUCCAAUUUGGUCCUGCCGUACAUACCUACAUGUACGCUACGAUCACAAGACGCAGGCUUCCUUAUUGUCCCUAGAAUUUCUAAGCAAACAGCUGGAGGCAGCGCUUUCUCCUAGAGCUCCAUUUUUAUGGAAUGGUCUGCCUAUCCAUGUGCGAGAUGCAGACUCUGUCUCGGCCUUUAAGUCUUUAUUGAAGACUCAUCUCUUUAGUAGGUCCUAUGAUUGAGUGUAGUAUGGCCCAGGGGUGUGAAGGUGAACGGAAAGGCACUGGAGCAACGAACCACCCUUGCUGUCUCUGCCUGGCCGGUUCCCCUCUCUUCACUGGUAUUUUCUGCCUCUAACCCUAUUACGGGGGCUGAGUCACUGGCUUACUGAUGCUCUUCCAUGUCGUCCCUAGGAGGGGUGCGUCACUUGAGUGGGUUGAGUCACUGACGUGAUCUUCCUGUCCGGGUUGGCGCCCCCCUCGGUUGGUGCCGUGGGGAGAUCUUUGUGGGCUAUACUCGGCCUUGUCUCAGGGUAGUAAGUUAGUGGUUUGAAGAUAUCCCUCUAGUGGUGUGGGGGCUGUGCUUUGGCAAAGUGGGUGGGGUUAUAUCCUGCCUGGUUGGCCCAAACCGGGGGUAUCGUCGGACAGGGCCACAGUUUCUCCCAACCCCUCCUGUCUCAGCCUCCAGUAUUUAUGCUGCAAUAGUUUGUGUCGGAGGGCUAGGAUCAGUCUGUUAUAUCUGGAGUAUUUAUCCUGUCUUAUCCGGUGUCCUGUGUAAGUUUAAGUAUCCUCCCUCUAACUAUUUCUGUCUUUCUCUCUUUUCUCUCUUCUCUCGGAGGACCUGAGCCCUGGGACCAUGCCUCAGGACUACCUGGCCUACUGACUCCUUGCUGUCCCCAGUCCACCUGCUGCCCCCAGUCCACCCCAGUCCACCUGCUGCUGCUCCAGUUGAACCUGUUCUGCCUGCGGCUAUGGAACCCUGACGUGCUACCUCGUCCCGGACCUCCUGUUUUGGACUCUCUCUCUCUACCGCACCUGCUGUCUCUGAAUGAUCGGCUAUGAAAAGCCAACUGACAUUUACUCUUGAGGUGCUGACCUGUUUCACCCUCUACAACCACUGUGAUUAUUAUUAUUUGACCCUGCUGGUCAUCUAUGAACAUUUGAACAUCUUGGCCAUGUUCUGUUAUAAUUUCCACCCGGCACAGCCAGAAGAGGACUGGCCACCCCUCAGAGCCUGGUUCCUCUCUAGGUUUCUUCCUAGGUUCCUGCCUUUCUAGUGAGUUUUUCCUAGCCACCGUGCUUCUACAUCUGCAUUGCUUGCUGUUUGGGGUUUUAGACUGGGAUUCUGUAUAGCACUUUGUGACAUAGGCUGAUGUAAAAAGGUCUUCAUGAAUACAAUUGAUUGAUACUGGGUGACUUUCACUUAUACUUGAGCAAUUUUCUACUAAGGUAUCUUUACUUUUACUCAAGUCCAAAAAUGUGAUACUUUUGCCAGCACUGCUCAUACCUUACAUUCCUCCUGUGACAUUGCCACAUCUGGAAACCGCCGAUGACGAUGAGAGGAACUAAUGCCUCAAUCAAGAAUUACAAUAAAAGACCGUAUUGUGAAAAUUGACAGGCAGGGACUUUCUUACCUUUCUUUAAACUUGACCUGAACUUUGCCAUCUGGGGUGGAUAGAAGGGGAGAACCGUCUGCUUUGACAGAGGACAGCGCCCAGUGCCGGUGUUGAGUUCGGUCUCAAGAGUGGAGGGGAUAACUAGGAAUGGCAGCCCGCUCGAGUUAAUGGCUUGGGGGUGUCACUCUUUGAGCCGGCUCACCCCGGUGACAUCAUCCCUCCAGACAUAUGCCAUGUUAGGCUGUUUAUAGAAUCAGUCAAUUCAUCUGCUGCAGCAGGAAUUAAUCCAAGGGGCUAGGAGGCAGACUAAACAUGUUGGUCGGUCUGUCUGUCUGUCAGUCACUAUCUCUCGUCCGGGGACAUGUUAUCCAUGGUGCAGGCCCGACCUGUGACAAGACGCCCACUUUGUCUCUCGGCUGGUCUUUUCUUUCUGGUGUGUUGAGUGUGUAUGCUUCUAUUCUUAUGUCGUUUUUAAAUGCACUUCCUUGCAAGGAAAUCCGUGAGAGAUUGAGCCGCUUAAUAUUUUUUUUGCCUCUAGGAUCUUGGUAAGUGAGCUUACAUUGUGAGCUCAUUGUAAUGUAGGCCUUGUUGAUGUACCCCUAUGGAUUUAAUUGUAGGUGAACAGUUCUCCUCUCUCAGCAUACCACCUUGCAUCCCGCUGCUGGCUUGUCGCUGAAGCUAAGCAGAAUCGGUCCUGGUAGGUCCCUGGAUGGGAGACCUGAUGCUGCUGAAUGUGUUGUUGGAGAGCCCGUAGGGGACACUCUUCCCUCUGGUCUUAAGAUUGAAUCCCAAUGCCCCAGGGCAGUAAAGGGGACACUGCCAUGCUCAGGGUGCAGCCUUUCGGAUGGGAUGUUAAACAGGCGUCCUGACUCUCUGUGGUCAAGAAUAGGGGUGUUUACCCAGGUGGGUGACACUCACUGAUGAGGUGAGGUUCCCCCUUUUUUUCCCACCCUUAUUUAACCAGGUCGGCCAGUUGAGAACAAGUUCUCAUUUACAACUGCGACCUGGCCAAGCUAAAGCAAAGCAGUGCGACAACAAACAAUAACACAGAGUUACACAUGGGAUAAACAAACGCACAAUCAAUAACACAACAGAAAGAAAUCUAUAUACAUAUGUAUGCAAAUUGGGUAAGAUUAGGGAGGUAAGGCAAUAAAUAGGCCUUAGUGGUGAAGUAAUUACAAUUGAGCAAUUAAACACUGGAGUGAUAGAUGUGCAGAAGAUGAAUGUGCAAGUAUGCAAGCUUUACUAUGUAAAGCACUCAAAGUACCUCAGUUGGUAGAAAGGCACUAUAUAAAUCCAAUCCAUUAUUAUUAUUAUGAUAUACUCAAACGCAUAGCUACUCCCAUUCACACCAAGACACGCACGCAUGCACGCACACACACACACACACAGCUUCAAUCCCUACUUCUCACCUCUCAACCGUCAAGUUUGAAAAGUAAAGUCAUCACGCCGAGGAGUGUUAACACAGCCAUUGUGUGUAUGCUUUACGGUCCCCUGGGACCAUGGGGGGACUCAACUGUGGGUCUUUCAGUAGGAACUCAGAAUAUGACAGGUCUGCCCUGGACUCCAAACUCCAAACAGGAGAAUAAUACACUGCUAUGACCUGCAUUAGCACUUGCAAUGAAUGGUAUGGAUGCUGGCGCAGGUUCAGCAUUGCCAUGACAAACCUGGGGAUUAGGGGUUAAAGCCUCUUCUAUGUCCUCAUAGUGUCAGCACCACAGUGGAGCUCUGAAAGGAUUGCACAACCAUGUAAUUCAUUCAAAUGUUCCUUGUUAUAUACGAAGGGUGUUAAGCUAUUGAAGAGGGUCUGAAUGCGUUGCUUAAGUCUCUAUCGGGCUAUAACUCUGGGUUAAAUUAAACUGACUUUGUGCAUUUUUGUAACAGUUAUCUUUCAUUCAUAAUAUCCCAAGAAAAUAAUGUGCUAUUUAUCUAUGUAAGAGGCUAAUGUGAUUUACAGUUUUGUCAUCUGGUCAUGUGGAGACAACGUAAUAAGUGUAUGACAAUUGAGACUUGUCUUCUAUGAAUAACCACACUUUUUUACGCAAUUUGUACAUUUUUCAAUCUUGAUAUCUAUAGACAACUCAGUAGUCUCAAUGUAAUAAUUGUCUUGCAUGUAUAGCUGUAUUGUGUAUGUACACAUGCAUUGAAGAAAUCAACUGACAACCAAUAAAUGUUGCUAAUUUUAUUUUUCAAAAGCACAACAUGAGCCAGAUUCCGAUUUAGAAAAGCUGUGUAGCAGCCUUGAAAAACGGACAUAAUCCAGGCUGUGCUUGAUUGUCACAAGUUAGCCGAUUAUCACAUUUUGUCAAAGAAAGUGUUACCUACUUGGGACCGCAUCAGUUAAAAAAAAAUGACUGUAGUCCUGUAGCUUUGAAACUGCGUUUGUUUUCUCAAUGUUCAAUGUUUACAUUUCUAUGAGAAUUCAGAUGUGAGAUUACACAACUCAAUUAAGAUGCUGCAAGUACGAACAGCUUGUGUGUUUCCUCCUGUAGACUUACAACUGCUGCUUGUUGUGAAAAGGCACAGACUAUGCCAAUAUGAGCGGAAAGGAGGCUAUUUCUGAUAUGACAAUGUAUUUCUGCUUCAUAAUUUGAUAGUACAAAGUACGACUACGUGGCCGCGCACGACUCCAAAAUCAUCAAAUUUGCUGACGACAUGAUGUUGGUUGGCGUGAUCACCGACAACGGGACUGCCUAUAAGGAGAAGGUCAGUGACCAGGCAAUGUGGUGCAGGAAACAGAGGGCGGGGCAAACACCCCCAUCCACAUCGAAGGGGUUGCAGUGGAGCGGGUCGAGAGCUUCAAGUUGCUCAGUGUCCACAUCACGACAAUGCCUCUUCCCCCUCAGGAGGCUGAAGAGAUUCGGCAUAGGCCCUCAGAUCCUCAAAGGUUCUACACCUCUUGGUAUGGCAACUGUUAGGCAUCCGACCACAAGACGCUAGAGAGGGUAGUGCAUACGGCCCAGUACAUCACUGCCAUCCAGGACCUCUACACCAGGCGGUGUCAGAGGAAAGCCCUAGAAAUUGUUAAGGACUCCAGCCACCCAAGUCAUAAACUGUUCUCUCUGCUACCACUUGACAAGCAGUACCGAUUCACCAUGUCUGGAACAGACUGGACCCUGAACAGACCCCAAGCCAUCAGACUGCUAAAGAGUUAGUUAAAUAGUUUUAAAAAAUAGCUACCCGGAUUAUCUGUAUAGACCCUUUUUGCACUAACUCUUUCCUGUAUGUACAGUAUAUAGAUAUUUUUAAAUAUAUUUUCACCUAACCCUCCCCUAAUUGUAGUAAACUAAUGGACAACAACACUUAGGUUUCUACUUCCAUACAUGCUAUAUACAUUUUACGGACACAGUAUAUUUUACAAUAGUUAUCUUCUGUUUCUUAUAAGUCCCAUCCUUCAGCUACCCUCAACCCCUCCCAUCUAUCUAUGAAGACCUUCCAGUCAAAGCCUUCAGCUACCCUCAACCCCUCCCAUCUAUCCCUGAAGACCUUCCAGUCCCAGCCUUCAGUUACCCUCAACCUCUCCCAUCUAUCCCUGAAGACCAUCCCGUUUUGAUUUCUAUUUGCCAUAUAUUUUGCAACUGUGCUGUGAUGUUUCACAAAUGUUCUGAACCUUUCUAUUCUCAUAGUUUCUACAGGUUGUACAUUUAAGAUAAACAUUUUUGCUCAGAGUAUUGUUGUAUUUUAUGAUCAAUUGACUAUGACUUUUUUAAAUCAUCCAGCAGUGCUAUUUGCAGAGUUAGCUCCAGGCAACGGUUGCAAUUCUUCAGCCAUUCCUGAACCUACGACCCCAAAAACAAGCUACAUUAUGGACAGUACCAAAACAGAUGAUCUAAUGAUUCUGUAUCUUCCCAGCAUGAUUCUGUAUCUGCAGAGCUGGGAUGGUUGUAUACCCCAUAUAUAUAACAUUCUGUUGGUGGCAAGAAUGUUGUAUAAUCAUUUAAAUUGAAAAACUCUUUCAAGAGUUGUUUCAGGCGUAAUUUUGUGUAUCAGUUCAUAAACCAUGUGCCAUGGAAUCGGUUAUUAUUUUGCAAUCUAUAUGGUACAGCUUUUUUUUUAUUUGUAUGUCCUUAAAUGAAACAGGUGUACUUUUUAAUUUGUCACAAAUUUUUUAACCGCUUUUGGUCUUUAAUGCCAGGCCGGCAUUAGUAUAUUAUCAGUUAGUAUAUUUGAGUUGAACCAUAAUAUUUGUUGUUGUAAUAUUUGUUCGGUCUUUUCUGAUGGAUUCAACUGAAAUUGCAACCAACUUUCUAUGGCUUGUUUAAAAAAAGUAGCGAUAUUUUGGAGAAUAUUUCAUUUUAAAAUAACAGAAAGUGAGAGGUCGUAAUCUGAAUAAAGGACAAAAGGCCAA
Oncorhynchus masou masou (cherry salmon) is the source of this 8519-nucleotide long non-coding RNA. RefSeq lists it as uncharacterized. The record is from RefSeq and is a predicted model, not a curated record. Lineage: Eukaryota; Metazoa; Chordata; Actinopteri; Salmoniformes; Salmonidae. The transcript has 4 exons.